CCUACGGGAGGCUGCAGUGGGGAAUAUUGGACAAUGGGGGGAACCCUGAUCCAGCCAUGCCGCGUGUGUGAAGAAGGCCCUCGGGUUGUAAAGCACUUUCAGUGAGGAAGAACGCCUGGUGGUUAAUACCCAUCAGGAAAGACAUCACUCACAGAAGAAGCACCGGCUAACUCCGUGCCAGCAGCCGCGGUAAUACGGAGGGUGCGAGCGUUAAUCGGAAUUACUGGGCGUAAAGCGCGCGUAGGUGGCUUGAUAAGCCGGUUGUGAAAGCCCCAGGCUCAACCUGGGAACGGCAUCCGGAACUGUCAAGCUAGAGUGCAGGAGAGGAAGGUAGAAUUCCCGGUGUAGCGGUGAAAUGCGUAGAGAUCGGGAGGAAUACCAGUGGCGAAGGCGGCCUUCUGGACUGACACUGACACUGAGGUGCGAAAGCGUGGGUAGCAAACAGGAUUAGAUACCCUUGUAGUC
This 465-nucleotide ribosomal RNA is filed under the name Vreelandella stevensii. RNAcentral describes it as "partial 16S ribosomal RNA". It matches the Rfam family "Bacterial small subunit ribosomal RNA", at positions 338 to 795 of the family's 1533-position model. Lineage: Bacteria; Pseudomonadati; Pseudomonadota; Gammaproteobacteria; Oceanospirillales; Halomonadaceae. The record is from RNAcentral.